ACACAUGCAAGUCGAGCGGAACGAGUUAUCUGAACCUUCGGGGGACGAUAACGGCGUCGAGCGGCGGACGGGUGAGUAAUGCCUAGGAAAUUGCCCUGAUGUGGGGGAUAACCAUUGGAAACGAUGGCUAAUACCGCAUGAUGCCUACGGGCCAAAGAGGGGGACCUUCGGGCCUCUCGCGUCAGGAUAUGCCUAGGUGGGAUUAGCUAGUUGGUGAGGUAAGGGCUCACCAAGGCGACGAUCCCUAGCUGGUCUGAGAGGAUGAUCAGCCACACUGGAACUGAGACACGGUCCAGACUCCUACGGGAGGCAGCAGUGGGGAAUAUUGCACAAUGGGCGCAAGCCUGAUGCAGCCAUGCCGCGUGUGUGAAGAAGGCCUUCGGGUUGUAAAGCACUUUCAGUCGUGAGGAAGGUGGUGUAGUUAAUAGCUGCAUUAUUUGACGUUAGCGACAGAAGAAGCACCGGCUAACUCCGUGCCAGCAGCCGCGGUAAUACGGAGGGUGCGAGCGUUAAUCGGAAUUACUGGGCGUAAAGCGCAUGCAGGUGGUUUGUUAAGUCAGAUGUGAAAGCCCGGGGCUCAACCUCGGAAUAGCAUUUGAAACUGGCAGACUAGAGUACUGUAGAGGGGGGUAGAAUUUCAGGUGUAGCGGUGAAAUGCGUAGAGAUCUGAAGGAAUACCGGUGGCGAAGGCGGCCCCCUGGACAGAUACUGACACUCAGAUGCGAAAGCGUGGGGAGCAAACAGGAUUAGAUACCCUGGUAGUCCACGCCGUAAACGAUGUCUACUUGGAGGUUGUGGCCUUGAGCCGUGGCUUUCGGAGCUAACGCGUUAAGUAGACCGCCUGGGGAGUACGGUCGCAAGAUUAAAACUCAAAUGAAUUGACGGGGCCCGCACAAGCGGUGGAACAUGUGGUUUAAUUCGAUGCAACGCGAAAAACCUUACCUACUCUUGACAUCCAGAAACUUUCAGAGAUGGAUUGGGGCUUCGGGAACUCUGAGA
RNAcentral lists this ribosomal RNA (999 nucleotides) under Vibrio sp. RNAcentral's name for it is "bacterial SSU rRNA". It matches the Rfam family "Bacterial small subunit ribosomal RNA", at positions 51 to 1034 of the family's 1533-position model. Lineage: Bacteria; Pseudomonadati; Pseudomonadota; Gammaproteobacteria; Vibrionales; Vibrionaceae. The record is from RNAcentral.